RNAcentral lists this ribosomal RNA (1238 nucleotides) under Megamelus notulus. Its description in RNAcentral is "SSU rRNA". It matches the Rfam family "Eukaryotic small subunit ribosomal RNA", at positions 613 to 1795 of the family's 1831-position model. Lineage: Eukaryota; Metazoa; Arthropoda; Insecta; Hemiptera; Delphacidae. The record is from RNAcentral.
UUGCGGUUAAAGCUCGCUAGUUGGAUCUGUGUCCUUCGACGCCGGUUCACCGCCUGUCGGUGCCAACUGGCGUUUUGCGGGACGUCCUGUCGGUGGCGUGUCAGGAAUCUUAGUUGGGCUCUGCUCAGCUUCGAUUUCGGGCCGCUUUCAUAAUCCCGUCGCGGUGCUCUUAAACGAGUGUCGAGGCGGGCCGGCACGUUUACUUUGAACAAAUUAGAGUGCUUCAAGCAGGCUUGUCAUGCCUGUAUACUGUGUGCAUGGAAUAAUGGAAUAGGACCUCGGUUCUAUUUUGUUGGUUUCCGGAAUCUGAGGUAAUGAUCAAUGGGGACAGGCGGGGGCAUUCGUAUUGCGACGUUAGAGGUGAAAUUCUUGGAUCGUCGCAAGACGGACCGAAGCGAAAGCAUUUGCCAAGUAUGUUCCCGUCGAUCAAGAACGAAAGUUAGAGGUUCGAAGGCGAUCAGAUACCGCCCUAGUUCUAACCAUAAACAAUGCCUGCCAGCGAUCCGCCGGCGUCCCUCCGAUGACCCGGCGGGCAGCUUCCGGGAAACCAGAGCUUUUGGGUUCCGGGGGAAGUAUGGUUGCAAAGCUGAAACUUAAAGGAAUUGACGGAAGGGCACCACCAGGAGUGGAGCCUGCGGCUUAAUUUGACUCAACACGGGAAAACUCACCAGGCCCGGACACCGGAAGGAUUGACAGAUUGAUAGCUCUUUCUUGAUUCGGUGGGUGGUGGUGCAUGGCCGUUCUUAGUUGGUGGAGCGAUUUGUCUGGUUAAUUCCGAUAACGAACGAGACUCUAGCCUACUAACUAGACGUAUCUGGUAUCAGCAAUCGUGCUACCAGCGAUCAUAUCUCUUCUUAGAGGGACAGGCGGCUUCUAGCCGCACGAGACUGAGCAAUAACAGGUCUGUGAUGCCCUUAGAUGUCCUGGGCCGCACGCGCGCUACACUGAAGGAAUCAGCGUGUCUUCCCUGUCCGAAAGGACCGGGUAACCCGCUGAACCUCCUUCGUGCUUGGGAUUGGGGCUUGCAAUUGUUCCCCAUGAACGAGGAAUUCCCAGUAAGCGCGAGUCAUAAGCUCGCGUUGAUUACGUCCCUGCCCUUUGUACACACCGCCCGUCGCUACUACCGAUUGAAUGAUUUAGUGAGGUCUUCGGACCGGUGCGCGGAGGCGGUUUACCGCUCCCGAUGUUGUCGGAAAGAUGACCAAACUUGAUCAUUUAGAGGAAGUAAAAGUCGUAAC